UUGCCUUUCGGAUCCUAGCCAUCCAGAGGCAUCUUUUAAGAAGUUUCUCUCGGAAUGGGGCCUUCCCAAUCCUGUUAGAGCGCAAUGCCAUACUUUUAGAAGAUGUCAGUGCUGUGGAAUGAGAUGGCCAACCAUCAUAUGUAUGCUGCAACUCAGAGAUACAGCUGUGAAUUCUCAGAAUACGAAGAGCUAUAGAGAAAAUCCCUUCUGGGAGCACCAUGAUCCCCAGGGAGCACUAUGAUACCUGGAGGCGGUAGAGGUUGUGACACGGCUGACACUUCCCUGCACGGGUCCUGACUUCUCCAGCUGCUCCUGGGGAUGCUGGUGUCUUGCUGAUGGAGGUCAGUCCCAAUACUAUGCCCCGCGCUUUCCAAGUGCU
This 379-nucleotide long non-coding RNA is filed under the name Felis catus (domestic cat). Its description in RNAcentral is "lncRNA (ENSFCAG00000047520.1)". Lineage: Eukaryota; Metazoa; Chordata; Mammalia; Carnivora; Felidae. The record is from RNAcentral.